RNAcentral lists this ribosomal RNA (200 nucleotides) under uncultured bacterium. RNAcentral describes it as "partial 16S ribosomal RNA". It matches the Rfam family "Bacterial small subunit ribosomal RNA", at positions 333 to 528 of the family's 1533-position model. The record is from RNAcentral.
AAAAUACGGGAGGCAGCAGUGGGGAAUCUUCCGCAAUGGGCGAAAGCCUGACGGAGCAAUGCCGCGUGAGUGAAGAAGGCCUUCGGGUUGUAAAACUCUGUCCCUGUCGAAGAGAGAGAGUUGUAGUAACUGACAAUACUAGGACGGUAGAUGAGGAGGAAGCCCCGGCUAACUAUGUGCCAGCAGCCGCGGUAAUUUUU